Molecule: long non-coding RNA, 207 nt
Organism: Bradysia coprophila
Lineage: Eukaryota; Metazoa; Arthropoda; Insecta; Diptera; Sciaridae
Source: RefSeq, a predicted model, not a curated record
CUUUUGGGACUGGAAUAGCGUCAGUUGCUGAAAUAGCGUCAGUUGCUGGAAUAGCGUCAGUUGCUGGAAUAGCGUCAGUUGCUGGUACAGCAUCAGUUGCCGGUGGAUCCACACUCAAAACUGCAUUGAAAGUAGCGACACAGAAAAACAGACAAAUGAGAAACUUCAUUUUUGUUUCGGAUUUUGGUAAGCGACUCUUUUUUAUUU